Molecule: non-coding RNA, 123 nt
Organism: Proteus mirabilis
Lineage: Bacteria; Pseudomonadati; Pseudomonadota; Gammaproteobacteria; Enterobacterales; Morganellaceae
Source: Rfam
AAUGUUAAAUAUCGCUUUUUUCCGCUUCUUUUUUUACUUUAGCGCCUAAUUUUGGGGGCUUUUGCGCGUAAGAAAAGAAACGAAAAGUAGCGCCGGAGCCUCCAUUUUGGAGGCUUUUUUGUU